This 881-nucleotide long non-coding RNA is filed under the name Cucumis sativus (cucumber). Its description in RNAcentral is "long non-coding RNA (CSAT_LNC002499)". The record is from RNAcentral. Lineage: Eukaryota; Viridiplantae; Streptophyta; Magnoliopsida; Cucurbitales; Cucurbitaceae.
AGGCAAGGCCAAUAAAGUAGGUGGAAACGAAACAGAAUAGGCCAUAAGGGCAUCCCAUUGCCAUUACAGGACUGAGGCAUAUUGGUCAAGUGGAUCUCACUUUUCUCUUUCAUUCAUAUCUCUUUUUUAUGAAACUCUGAUCCUCCUCUAACCUUCUUUCUUUUCUCUCUCUUAAAUUUCUUCUUCCGGUUUCCCAAUAUGGACAGAGAUCUCGGCUGCCGUCGACUUCCCUACCUCUCCGGCUGCGUUCCCUCUUCUCCCGCAUGCUUUCCCAUCCACGAAGGAGUAGAGUACACUCGCAUCCACGGCGGCGCUGGAGCCAAAAGAAGCGGCUGGAGAUGGCGGUAUCUUCUUAGAAAGUGGGUGAAAGAUGGCAUGAAUAUAUAUGGAUCGAAAUCUCUAUCUUUCCAAUACGACGCCGUUAGCUAUUCGCAGAAUUUUGACGAGGGCAGCCGUUGUUACGAGAGUUGCCAUCGAGAAAAUGAGAUAGGGAUUUCGAGAUGAACGUACCUACGGUUUAAUUGAUCGAUCCAUCGAUCGAUCGCUGUAGAUGGGAUUAUGGUAGGAUUUUCUGAGUUGAAUUACUGCAAUUUUCUUUUGAGAUUUUUUGGUUUUUGUUUUCAAAUUUUAGUCCGUUAAUUUUGGAUGUGUUUGAGAUUUAUGAAUAAAUGGAUGGUGGGAGUGUGGAGAUUAGAGAAUUGUAGAUCUACCAAGAAGAUGAACAUUCUUUCUUGUUUGUACAGUUUCCCAGAUGACAGGUGCCGCCCAUUGAUUUGCCCACAUUUUCUUUUUCUUUUUCUCUUUUCUGGCGGGUCCCAUCAAGAUGUAUAUUUCUUGGCUCAAUUAAACCGUAAAUUCCAAACAUAUUUUUUAAACUAAAA